Molecule: ribosomal RNA, 486 nt
Filed under: Vibrio parahaemolyticus
Lineage: Bacteria; Pseudomonadati; Pseudomonadota; Gammaproteobacteria; Vibrionales; Vibrionaceae
Description: bacterial SSU rRNA
Rfam family: Bacterial small subunit ribosomal RNA
Source: RNAcentral
AAAUUGAAGAGUUUGAUCAUGGCUCAGAUUGAACGCUGGCGGCAGGCCUAACACAUGCAAGUCGAGCGGAAACGAGUUGUCAGAACCUUCGGGGGACGAUAACGGCGUCGAGCGGCGGACGGGUGAGUAAUGCCUAGGAAAUUGCCCUGAUGUGGGGGAUAACCAUUGGAAACGAUGGCUAAUACCGCAUGAUGCCUACGGGCCAAAGAGGGGGACCUUCGGGCCUCUCGCGUCAGGAUAUGCCUAGGUGGGAUUAGCUAGUUGGUGAGGUAAGGGCUCACCAAGGCGACGAUCCCUAGCUGGUCUGAGAGGAUGAUCAGCCACACUGGAACUGAGACACGGUCCAGACUCCUACGGGAGGCAGCAGUGGGGAAUAUUGCACAAUGGGCGCAAGCCUGAUGCAGCCAUGCCGCGUGUGUGAAGAAGGCCUUCGGGUUGUAAAGCACUUUCAGUCGUGAGGAAGGCGGUGUAGUUAAUAGCUGCAUC